UAAUAAAAUACCCGAUGCUAAUAGUGAUAUUUUUUUAAAAAAAAUAUAUUUGUUUUUUUGCGUCGGUUUAAAAGGGAAGCAAACCUUCUACGCUAAUCUUAUAUAAUCUACCUUAACCCCAAAUCGAUUCACACACUAUUCACUUCGUCUUCAACCUCCGAAGUCUCUCCCCCGCUCUAGCGAUUCUCCUCUAUCCUCUUCGAUCUUUCCAACCAAAACCCCAUUCCACAAAAACCCAACUCAGUAAGUCUCUAGUCUUUCCCCUUUCCCCUUUCCCUUCUCUUCUUUCUUUUAUAUUUUCUUCAAAUUUCAUGGGUUUUUCCUCUUUCUCUCUCAGAUCUCUCUUCUCGCUAUCUCACACUUCCUCUGUUGUUAGUAGUCACUUUCUACUGUAUUUGGUGGCUUCACAUUGAAUGGGAGAAAUAUUUAGAAAAUGAAUUUAAGUAUUGUCUGAUUGGAGAUAAACAAUAGUGGUGGUUGAGGCAAUUGCUAGCCUGUGCUUGAUGAAGUGGUAGUACAGUACCAAAGGAUGAGAGACAUUUUUUGGAAUAAGUGUUUAAGCUCUUAGAAAAGAUAAGUAUCUCCUAAUUAAUAUAUAUAUAUAUUAUAUACAUGGCUAUUAAGUUUCGACUAAAAAAAUGGUCAAUUAAAAAUCAUCAAUAAGUUUAACUUCUUUGCACUUAACAAUCAGUUAUAUGUAAAAUAUAAGUAGAUAUAUCAUUUUGAUUACCCCAUUAUGUAAUGUCUCUUUAUUUUUUUUGUUGUUAAGCUAAUUAUUUUCAAUAAGUCACUUUUCAUGGUUGUGAUAGCAGGAAAAGCUGGAAUAUGCCACCUAUUUGUGCAUUACGUAAAGUAAAAUAUAUGGUUGGAUAAAUUAGAUGGAGGCUGCUCGAUACCAACUUUUGUAGAAUUAAAGUUAUCAAACUUGGGAUAAAGUUACUAAAUUAUAAUGAGAUUAUGAAAUGUAUUUUUCUUCUUUCUAUAAUUUGUUUUUUUCAAAUGAGUUUUUCAGCAGGGCAUGUCAAAUUCGGUAUCAUUACAAGGUAAUAAUUUUCUUUAAUCUUUUACUGCAAAAACAUUUUCGGAACGUAAAUUAUCAUCUUGUUUGUGUGUGUGUAUAGUUAGACAUAUUAUAAAUAACAAAUUAGUUACUUGUUAGAAUAGAAAAUCAUGUUUGAUCUGAGUUCUUGAUUUUCUAAGUCCAUUGGUUAGGACUCAAGAUUUUAGGGGAGAUUUUUAGAAUUGUUUCAUGAGCUAGUUUGUUUCGAAUAGUGGUAAACUGAAUGAGUGUACAGGGGUUACCUAUUCUUGUUGGGAGUUGUAUCAUUUUCUUUAUUAUAGAUUCUUUCUUCUCCCCUUAUGAGAUAUUAUACUUCUAUUAGGUUUGUUAUUGUGCUUAUCUUUGUGUUUGUUAAUAGUAUAUUGUGCUAUGACUUGACUUGGUAGUAAAUUUUAGCCUCUUUGAUUUUAAUGAGGAUAAGGCCUGCCUAUUCUCUUACUCUUUAUUAGGAUGUUCAUUUGUGGUAGUUCAUGGUGGUGUUGAGUCUCUACCUUUUUUUGUGCAUGCAUAUUCAUUCCUCAUUUCAGCUCUUGUGUUUUUUAAUUUAUUGGAGCAUAUAAUACUAAUUUGCGGUUAAGUUCUUGGUGGUUGACUUGUUAAAUUUGUUAAUAUUACACACACGAAAUGUUAAUUAACAUUGUUUUAUUGUAUUGAUGACUGGUUUUUUAAGGUAAUGGAACUAAUACUAAAAGUUUGCUUUGAACUUGGGAUAAGGGCACAAAUACAAAUUCAUCUAAUGCUUAAUCUUGUGGUUUAAAUUGAUCAGUUGUGUAAAUUUCAUCACUUUGAAGAAUUUUUGUUUCUUGCUUUUAAUAUGGUUCCAAAUUCCAUGUCUUGCUUGCUAUUCUAUAUCAUAGUUUGGUUUGUAAAUACAAUGCUUUGGAAGUUUGCCAAAAGAUUAGGACUUUAUUUAUCAUGUCGAACUUAGGUUGUUCUUUUUUUUAUGCAGGUUCCAUUGUAUGUGGCAACAAAGAUGGCAUCAAUCAAGAGAUCUUCCUUCUUUGUUCCAUCGAUUGAUGGCUAUGCUCGAGCAGCCAUGCGUUGGAUAGGUUACGAACCUCACUUACUGGCCUCAUUCCCUUUUAUGGGCUUUGGCAAAUGCAUUGCCAGAAAGUUUAAGUUAGACGCUCCCUACAUUAACGAGAAGAUCAAUGUAGUACGGGAUGAGUGAGCUAAAUUUGUGAAGCCUUUAAUUAUUAAUUGAGUACAAGGUUACCACUUUUUAUUAUGACACAUGGGAAAUAAGUUUUAUGAUUAUUGCUAUUUAACUCUUUUUCAUUAUGUAAUUAGUUUAUAGUUUUUUUUUUAUGAAAUGUAAUUAGUUUAUAGUUAGUUUUUAUGAUACAUGGAGUGUAAGUUUUAUAAAUGUUAUUUUAUUUUAUUUUUUGUAUUAUAUAAAAUCUUUUUAAAAUUUGAAAAUGCACAAAGGGAAAAUUGCA
RNA transcript from Cannabis sativa, 2499 nucleotides. It is a transcript of the gene named very-long-chain 3-oxoacyl-CoA reductase 1-like, with no coding region annotated. Lineage: Eukaryota; Viridiplantae; Streptophyta; Magnoliopsida; Rosales; Cannabaceae. The record is from RefSeq and is a predicted model, not a curated record. The transcript has 3 exons.